This 446-nucleotide ribosomal RNA is filed under the name uncultured bacterium. RNAcentral's name for it is "partial 16S ribosomal RNA". It matches the Rfam family "Bacterial small subunit ribosomal RNA", at positions 338 to 795 of the family's 1533-position model. The record is from RNAcentral.
CCUACGGGUGGCAGCAGUCGAGAAUCAUUCACAAUGGGGGAAACCCUGAUGGUGCGACGCCGCGUGGGGGAAUGAAGGUCUUCGGAUUGUAAACCCCUGUCAUGUGGGAGCAAAUUAAAAAGAUCGUACCACAAGAGGAAGAGACGGCUAACUCUGUGCCAGCAGCCGCGGUAAUACAGAGGUCUCAAGCGUUGUUCGGAAACACUGGGCGUAAAGCGUGCGUAGGCUGUUUCGUAAGUCGUGUGUGAAAGGCGCGGGCUCAACCCGCGGACGGCACAUGAUACUGCGAGACUAGAGUAAGGGAGGGGGAACCGGAAUUCUCGGUGUAGCAGUGAAAUGCGUAGAUAUCGAGAGGAACACUCGUGGCGAAGGCGGGUUCCUGGACAUUAACUGACGCUGAGGCACGAAGGCCAGGGGAGCGAAAGGGAUUAGAUACCCCAGUAGUC